GAAGGAUAUAGAUGGUAAAAAGCCUUUUUAUGUUAAAUCACAGUUAUUAUGUAAAGAACGCACUGAAGUUUCAGCGACAUGUCUAUGUGCCCCAGUUACAACGCACGGGCAAUUAGUACUUACUAGUAAGAAACAAAAUACGGACGAUACACGGUUUGCUUCCAGAGCCCGGGACAAACACAAUCCUAGCCUGGCGUUUUUAUUUCACCACAAGAGAAGAGAUCCACUCGAGCACAACACAAUCCGGCUACAAAUACCUCAGUCUAGUGCUAGCAACGGCAGCAGGCAGCACAGCGGCCGGCCGUGCAGCGCUGUAGGUGCAGGCUACUCGAACUUGUAGUGCUUGUCGACGGCCUCGGCGACGUCCCAGGUGCAGCUCAUGCCCUUGGGGAACACCACCAGGUCCCCCGCCGCGAUCUCCACGAACCCCUCCUCGCCGUCCGGGUACACCUUCACCUUCCCCUGCAGCAGGUAGCACGUCUCCUUGGCCGAGUAGGUCCACGGGAACUUGCUCUUCUCGCACCCCCAC
Molecule: long non-coding RNA, 529 nt
Filed under: Triticum aestivum (bread wheat)
Lineage: Eukaryota; Viridiplantae; Streptophyta; Magnoliopsida; Poales; Poaceae
Description: long non-coding RNA (TAES_LNC020973)
Source: RNAcentral